RNAcentral lists this long non-coding RNA (1172 nucleotides) under Homo sapiens (human). Its description in RNAcentral is "HSALNT0084403". Lineage: Eukaryota; Metazoa; Chordata; Mammalia; Primates; Hominidae. The record is from RNAcentral.
GGCAGGUUGUGGAUGAUACCAGAACAGAGAGAGGACCAGGCCAGAACUAUGAGCCCAGGAACUAGCUAAGAAGGAGGAUUCUACCUCACCUGACACUUGCCCCAGAUGGUACAUAUGGCUGCAGGAUGUAGGAGCACUGAUGGCCCACCGGACUCCAUGAACAAAGAGACCUUUUUGCUGUUAAGCUGCUGCACUGAGUCUGGGCUUUCUUGUUGUGGCAACGAGCAUCGCUGAGCUGUAACUAAGCUCAUGUCUUUUGAGGUCAUUUUCAGAGAAUCUAAAUAGAGGAAGUGCAUUUUCCCCGAUCAACUGACAUGCACAUUAUGCACAUUCAGCUCUGCACUUCUGCUCAGGAUUUGGGAUUUGGAAAUUUGUUCAAAUGACAGAGAUGUCCUCACCUGUGUCCCCACCCCAUGUCAUAGUCUUCUGAGCCUGCUGAACCAUUGGCACCACUGAGCACUUUACAGAGGCUGAACAGAGCAGCAGUUUCUGUUUUCCAUGAGCUCUUGGUCUCAAGUUUCUGGCAGAUGGUGGCCAGGGUUUCUCAGGCCAAUGUUCUUGGAUGAAUGCACGCUGCUGACUCUCUGGAACCCUCAUUUGGUGACACAUGCUAUUUUCAUGAAAUGGUACGUUUAUACGCACACUUCCCAGUAUAAGGAGAGCAGGUCAGGAUGGAGUCAAAGACGGGUUCUUCAAUAUAAAGGGGCCACCCAGGGCAUUUGGUUGAAGCAAGCAUCCUUAAAGUCCAGGAAAUCCCGAAGCUGGAUUCUGAUAAAGACCCAUGCUGCCCUUCUCCAAGCCGGGGACCUGGAAAUCUGAAUUCAGAUACUCGUAUUUGCCUCUAACGGGGAUUUUGGAUUAUAUUUGCUGUGGGGAGAGAAAAAGAGCUUAUUUCAAGUUGGCCGCUUAAUGUUCACGGCAACCAGGGAGAAACAACUACUUACUUGAAUCUUUUCUCGUCCUGUCCACCUCCUCAUGGUAUGACCUUGACUAUGAUCUCCUAGGCCAGUGUGGGAGAUAUUCCUUAAAUUGCAGAGGAUUUUGGGAAAGUGGAUGGAUGGGAAGAACCCUUUGAAAAUGUCACGAAGAGAUGCCUCCACAGGAAGCAUGCUGCUGCCAUGAAUUUUCAGGCCACUGGUGGCUGACUUAGUUCUCAUCAUCUUUAUUUGAGU